RNAcentral lists this ribosomal RNA (291 nucleotides) under Escherichia coli. Its description in RNAcentral is "partial 23S ribosomal RNA". It matches the Rfam family "Bacterial large subunit ribosomal RNA", at positions 948 to 1238 of the family's 2925-position model. Lineage: Bacteria; Pseudomonadati; Pseudomonadota; Gammaproteobacteria; Enterobacterales; Enterobacteriaceae. The record is from RNAcentral.
UGCAAACUGCGAAUACCGGAGAAUGUUAUCACGGGAGACACACGGCGGGUGCUAACGUCCGUCGUGAAGAGGGAAACAACCCAGACCGCCAGCUAAGGUCCCAAAGUCAUGGUUAAGUGGGAAACGAUGUGGGAAGGCCCAGACAGCCAGGAUGUUGGCUUAGAAGCAGCCAUCAUUUAAAGAAAGCGUAAUAGCUCACUGGUCGAGUCGGCCUGCGCGGAAGAUGUAACGGGGCUAAACCAUGCACCGAAGCUGCGGCAGCGACACUAUGUGUUGUUGGGUAGGGGAGCG